CCCUUAGAUGUUCUGGGCCGCACGCGUGCCACACUGAGUAAUUCAAUGGGUAAGGGAACGCUAGAGCAUUACCUAAUCUUGAAAUUUGCUCGUGAUGGGGAUCGACGGUUGCAAUUUUCCGUCGUGAACGAGGAAUACCUUGUAGGCGCAUGUCAUCAUCAUGCGCCGAAUACGUCCCUGCCCUUUGUACACACCGCCCGUCGCUCCUACCGAUUGAGUGAUCCGGUGAGGCUCUGGGACCUGGACGGAAAGAGCGUUUCGCUUGUUCUGUUUGGGAAACUUGGUCGAACCUUAUCAUUUAGAGGAAGGAGAAGUCGUAACA
This 322-nucleotide ribosomal RNA is filed under the name uncultured eukaryote. RNAcentral's name for it is "partial 18S ribosomal RNA". It matches the Rfam family "Eukaryotic small subunit ribosomal RNA", at positions 1470 to 1796 of the family's 1831-position model. The record is from RNAcentral.